AUAAAGUUUAAAUCUAGCUUAGAUAUUUAUUAAAAAUUUCUUUUACAUGUAAAUUUUUGUGAGAUAAAUAAUUUUAUUUAAAUAAUAAAGUUAAUUGUAUAUAUUCGCAGUAUUUAAUAUUAUUAAUUUAAGAAAUUAUGAAUUAGGAAUAAUUUAUAUUAUUGACAAAUUUUGUGCCAGCAGUUGCGGUUAUACAAAAAAUAUAAAUAAAUAUUAUUAGAAAAUAAUUAAAUGAUUGAUUUUUAAAUUAAUUAAAUUUAAAUUUAUUAAGUGAAAUUUUAAAUUUAAAUUAUUAUGAUAUAAAGUUUUUGUUAUUAUUAAAUUUAUUUUUUAAACUAGGAUUAGAUACCCUAUUAUUUUAAAUGUAAAUAAAUAUUCUUAAGUAGUAGUAGUUAUGUUCUUUAAAUUUAAAGAUUUUGGCGGUAUUUUAGUCUAUUCAGAGGAACCUGUUUUAUAAUUGAUAGUCCACGAUUGACUCAACUUAAUUUAAUAAAUUUGUAUAUCGUCGUUAUAUAAAAAUUUUAUAAGAGUGUAAAUUUUUAAUAAUUUAUAUAAAUAUAUAUAUCAGAUCAAGGUGCAGUAAAUAGUUAAGUAAAAUUGGGUUACAAUAAAUAUAUUUAAUGAUGGAUUAGAUUAGGAAGAUAUAAUUUAUGAAAUUGGAUUUGAAAGUAAUAUUAUUUAUUUUAAUAAUAUGAUUAAAGCUCUAAAAUAUGUACAUAUCGCCCGUCACUCUUAUAUAAAAUAAGAUAAGUCGUAACAUAGUAGAUGUACUGGAAAGUGUAUCUAGAAUGAA
This 793-nucleotide non-coding RNA is filed under the name Omus cazieri. The record is from RNAcentral. Lineage: Eukaryota; Metazoa; Arthropoda; Insecta; Coleoptera; Carabidae.